RNAcentral lists this ribosomal RNA (657 nucleotides) under uncultured bacterium. RNAcentral describes it as "bacterial SSU rRNA". It matches the Rfam family "Bacterial small subunit ribosomal RNA", at positions 62 to 751 of the family's 1533-position model. The record is from RNAcentral.
UCGCACGAGAAAGUGGAGCGAUCCAUGAGUACAGUGGCGCACGGGUGAGUAACACGUGAAUGAUCUACCUCCGAGUAGGGAAUAACUGAGAGAAAUCUUAGCUAAUACCGCAUAAUACCCACGGGUCAAAGCAGCAAUGCGCUUGGAGAGGAGUUCGCGGCCGAUUAGCUAGUUGGCGGGGUAAUGGCCCACCAAGGCGAUGAUCGGUAUCCGGCCUGAGAGGGCGCACGGACACACUGGAACUGAAACACGGUCCAGACUCCUACGGGAGGCAGCAGUGGGGAAUUUUGCGCAAUGGGGGAAACCCUGACGCAGCAACGCCGCGUGGAGGAUGAAAUCCCUUGGGAUGUAAACUCCUUUCGAUAGGGAAGAUAAUGACGGUGCCUAUAGAAGAAGCCCCGGCUAACUUCGUGCCAGCAGCCGCGGUAAUACGAGGGGGGCAAGCGUUGUUCGGAAUUAUUGGGCGUAAAGGGUGCGUAGGCGGUUUGGCAAGUCUUAUGUGAAAUCUAUGGGCUCAACUCAUAGUCUGCAUGAGAAACUGCCGGGCUUGAGUAUGGGAGAGGUGAGUGGAAUUUCCGGUGUAGCGGUGAAAUGCGUANAUAUCGGAAGGAACACCUGUGGCGAAAGCGGCUCACUGGACCAUAACUGACGCUGAUG